RNAcentral lists this unclassified non-coding RNA (253 nucleotides) under uncultured Alphaproteobacteria bacterium. Its description in RNAcentral is "contains 16S-23S intergenic spacer region". It matches the Rfam family "Bacterial small subunit ribosomal RNA", at positions 524 to 776 of the family's 1533-position model. Lineage: Bacteria; Pseudomonadati; Pseudomonadota; Alphaproteobacteria. The record is from RNAcentral.
UACGAAGGGGGCUAGCGUUGUUCGGAAUUACUGGGCGUAAAGCGCGCGUAGGCGGUGAUCUUUGUCAGAGGUGAAAGCCCGGAGCUCAACUCCGGAAUUGCCUUUGAAACGGGAUCGCUAGAGUCCGAGAGAGGAUGGCGGAAUUCCUAGUGUAGAGGUGAAAUUCGUAGAUAUUAGGAAGAACACCGGUGGCGAAGGCGGCCAUCUGGCUCGGUACUGACGCUCAGGCGCGAAAGCGUGGGGAGCAAACAGG